GACGAACGCUGGCGGCGUGCCUAAUACAUGCAAGUAGAACGCUGAAGCUUGGUGCUUGCCCGAGCGGAUGAGUUCGAACGGGUGAGUAACGCGUAGGUAACCUGCCUGGUACGGGGGAUAACUAUUGGAAACGAUAGCUAAUCCGCAUGAUAUUGAUUAUUGCAUGAUAGUCAAUUAAAAGGUGCAAUUGCAUCACUACCAGAUGGACCUGCGUUGUAUUAGCUAGUUGGUGAGGUAACGGCUCACCAAGGCAACGAUACGUAGCCGACCUGAGAGGGUGAUCGGCCACACUGGGACUGAGACACGGCCCAGACUCCUACGGGAGGCAGCAGUAGGGAAUCUUCGGCAAUGGACGGAAGUCUGACCGAGCAACGCCGCGUGAGUGAAGAAGGUUUUCGGAUCGUAAAGCUCUGUUGUAAGAGAAGAACGAGUGUGAGAGUGGAAAGUUCACACUGUGACGGUAUCUUACCAGAAAGGACGG
RNAcentral lists this ribosomal RNA (481 nucleotides) under Streptococcus sp. oral taxon 070. RNAcentral's name for it is "bacterial SSU rRNA". It matches the Rfam family "Bacterial small subunit ribosomal RNA", at positions 28 to 495 of the family's 1533-position model. The record is from RNAcentral. Lineage: Bacteria; Bacillati; Bacillota; Bacilli; Lactobacillales; Streptococcaceae.